GCCUGGGUGGCUCAGUCGGUUGAGCGUCUGACUUCAGCUCAGGUCACGAUCUCGCGGUCCGUGAGUUCAAGCCCCGCGUCAGGCU
RNAcentral lists this transfer RNA (85 nucleotides) under Felis catus (domestic cat). It matches the Rfam family "tRNA". Rfam says of the family: Transfer RNA (tRNA) molecules are approximately 80 nucleotides in length. Their secondary structure includes four short double-helical elements and three loops (D, anti-codon, and T loops). Further hydrogen bonds mediate the characteristic L-shaped molecular structure. tRNAs have two regions of fundamental functional importance: the anti-codon, which is responsible for specific mRNA codon recognition, and the 3' end, to which the tRNAs corresponding amino acid is attached (by aminoacyl-tRNA synthetases). tRNAs cope with the degeneracy of the genetic code in two manners: having more than one tRNA (with a specific anti-codon) for a particular amino acid; and 'wobble' base-pairing, i.e. permitting non-standard base-pairing at the 3rd anti-codon position. The record is from Rfam by way of RNAcentral. Lineage: Eukaryota; Metazoa; Chordata; Mammalia; Carnivora; Felidae.